AAGGCGGUAGGCUGUAGUCCUAUUUACAUUGGUUUAAUUCCUUUCUUUAUCA
This 52-nucleotide transfer RNA is filed under the name Anolis valencienni. Its description in RNAcentral is "partial tRNA-Tyr". The record is from RNAcentral. Lineage: Eukaryota; Metazoa; Chordata; Lepidosauria; Squamata; Anolidae.